RNAcentral lists this ribosomal RNA (1476 nucleotides) under metagenome. Its description in RNAcentral is "bacterial LSU rRNA". It matches the Rfam family "Bacterial large subunit ribosomal RNA", at positions 790 to 2280 of the family's 2925-position model. The record is from RNAcentral.
AAAAAAGUCUUCGGAUGACCUGUGGGUAGGGGUGAAAGGCCAAUCAAACUCGGAAAUAGCUCGUACUCCCCGAAAUGCAUUUAGGUGCAGCGUUAGUUAUAAAGUUAUAUAGAGGUAGAGCUACUGAUUGGAUGCGGGGGCUUCACCGCCUACCAAUUCCUGACAAACUCCGAAUGCUAUGUAAUGUUCACUAACAGUGAGGGCUUGGGUGCUAAGGUCCAAGUCCGAGAGGGAAAGAACCCAGACCAUCAGCUAAGGUCCCCAAAUAUACACUAAGUUGAAAGAACGAGGUUUGUCUGCCCAGACAGCUAGGAUGUUGGCUUGGAAGCAGCCAUUCAUUUAAAGAGUGCGUAACAGCUCACUAGUCGAGCGGACGAGCAUGGAUAAUAAUCGGGCAUAAGUGUAUUACCGAAGCUAUGGAUUUACAAGUAAUUGUAAGUGGUAGGGGAGCAUUCUAACAGGGUUGAAGGUGUAUCGUCAGGUAUGCUGGACUGGUUAGAAAAGAAAAUGUAGGCAUAAGUAACGAUAAUGCGGGCGAGAAACCCGCACACCGAAAAACUAAGGUUUCCACAGCUAUGCUAAUCAGCUGUGGGUUAGUCUGGUCCUAAGGCGAACCCGAAAGGGACAGUCGAUGGCUAACGGGUUAAUAUUCCCGUACUACUAAUUACUGUGAUGGGGUGACGGAGUGAUGAAAGCGCCGCGAACUGACGGAAUAGUUCGUUGAAGUACCUACCUAUAGGAUCUGCAGGCAAAUCCACAGAUCUUGGGGAAAUACGAUAGUACUCGGAGUCUUCGGACAAAGAGAUAGUGCGCCUAAGGGCUUCCAAGAAAAACCUCUAAACUUCAGGUAAUUAGUACCAGUACCGUAAACCGACACAGGUAGUUGAGGAGAGAAUCCUAAGGUGCUCGAGAGAUUCAUGGCUAAGGAAUUAGGCAAAAUAGACCUGUAACUUCGGGAGAAAGGUCGCCAGCGCAAGCUGGCCGCAGUGAAGAGGUCCAGGCGACUGUUUAUCAAAAACACAGGGCUCUGCAAAAUCGUAAGAUGAAGUAUAGGGCCUGACACCUGCCCGGUGCUGGAAGGUUAAGAGGAGAUGUUAUCUUCGGAGAAGCAUUGAAUUGAAGCCCCAGUAAACGGCGGCCGUAACAAUAACGGUCCUAAGGUAGCGAAAUUCCUUGUCGGGUAAGUUCCGACCUGCACGAAUGGUGUAACGAUCUGGACACUGUCUCAGCCAUGAGCUCGGUGAAAUUGUAGUAACGGUGAAGAUGCCGUUUACCCGCAGUGGGACGAAAAGACCCUGUGCACCUUUACUAUAGCUUAGUAUUGACCUUGGAUAAAUGAUGUGUAGGAUAGGUUGGAGACUGUGAAGUGGCGUCGCCAGGCGUUGUGGAGUCAUUGUUGAAAUACAACCCUUUGUUUAUCUGAGGCCUAACCCCGUUUUGCGGGGGACAUUGCUUGGUGGGUAGUUUGACUGAAAG